UGAAAAAAUUGACGUCGCUUGGCAGUUUAAUAAAUUAAUGAUAAAAACCUGCUCAUUCAGUUCCAAAGUACCCGCGGCCUGAUCUGUUUGAAUAGAAGCGCUGCCGUGGAUGCAACUUCGACGCGAGUGAGAAAACCUCCGCUCGGCCACCGGGAAAACCGUUGCUGCUUCAGUUAAGGCGGCGUCCAUUUAUUACGUAACGCUAAAUUUGGAAAUUUUUGACCCCCUCCCCCCCCUUCAUAACGCUUUUUGUAUGAAAUUUUUUAAAUUUUUGUAUGAGUCGUAACGCUUGAGCCUACUCCCCCCCUCCCCCUAGAGCGUUACGUAAUUUGUGAAUGCCGCCUAACCAGAAACAACCGGAAUUGUAAAAGAUGACCGAAAACGGACCAGUCGAACCUGCGGCCACUACCAGAGAUGUGAAAAACAUCGAAACGCGAUUGAGGAUCGUAAACGAGACUUGCAGCAGCAAGAUUGAUGCGAGAGAAGCUAAAAUACCGUGAAGAGUCGAAACAAGCAUUUAGCGAAUGUAUUUUAAUUAUUAAGUUCAAGAACAUAUUAGUGUAUAAGAAAGUGUUCAAAGUUUUUAGUUUUUUAGUUUGAAGAAAAAAAAAUAAAAAGUAAAAAAACAAGUUAUCAAAGUUUAAUAGAAUACACUGAAGCGAGUUAAGACGUGUAGAACAGUUCAAUUGAAACAUUUACGGAUUGAAUUAAUAGGUAAUCCCGGUAAUGGAAAUUUUUGUGUUUCUGUUAACAAGUAUUAUUUUUAUUUCUUUUUUAACAAUCUGUAAAUGUUUCAAUUGAAGUAACUGUUUUAUACGGUUGAACUUGUUUCAUUGUAUUUUAUUGUAUUUAUUUUUGUUUCAGGUUUUAUUUAUU
Molecule: long non-coding RNA, 876 nt
Organism: Aedes aegypti (yellow fever mosquito)
Lineage: Eukaryota; Metazoa; Arthropoda; Insecta; Diptera; Culicidae
Exons: 2
Source: RefSeq, a predicted model, not a curated record